RNAcentral lists this ribosomal RNA (473 nucleotides) under Brachyderes incanus. RNAcentral's name for it is "partial 16S ribosomal RNA". It matches the Rfam family "Bacterial large subunit ribosomal RNA", at positions 1831 to 2566 of the family's 2925-position model. Lineage: Eukaryota; Metazoa; Arthropoda; Insecta; Coleoptera; Curculionidae. The record is from RNAcentral.
CUUUUGAGUAUAAUCUAAGGUCUGGCCUGCCCAAUGAAUUUUAAAUGGCCGCGGUAUUUUGACCGUGCAAAGGUAGCAUAAUCAUUAGUUUUUUAAUUGAAAGCUGGAAUGAAAGGUUGGAUGAGAAAAUAGCUGUCUCUAUUUAAAUUUGUUAGAAUUUUAUUUUUAAGUUAAAAAGCUUAAAUUUUAUUAGAAGACGAGAAGACCCUAUAGAGUUUUAUUUAUUCUUAUAAUUAAGUUUUUAGAAUUUAAUAUUUUUUUUAUAAAAAUAAAUUUGAUUGGGGUGAUUGAAAAAUUUAUUAAACUUUUUUUAAAUUUUUACAUUUAUUUAUGAGUAUUUGAUCCUUUUAUUAAGAUUAAAAGAAAAAAUUACCUUAGGGAUAACAGCGUAAUUUUUUUAAAGAGUUCUAAUCGAAAAAAAAGAUUGCGACCUCGAUGUUGGAUUAAAAUAAAAUUCUGGUGUAGAAGCUAGA